This 254-nucleotide ribosomal RNA is filed under the name uncultured bacterium. Its description in RNAcentral is "partial 16S ribosomal RNA". It matches the Rfam family "Bacterial small subunit ribosomal RNA", at positions 524 to 776 of the family's 1533-position model. The record is from RNAcentral.
GACAGAGGGUGCAAGCGUUGUCCGGAAUUAUUGGGCGUAAAGAGCUCGUAGGCGGUCUGUCGCGUCGAUCGUGAAAACUUGGGGCUUAACCCUGAGCUUGCGGUCGAUACGGGCAUGACUGGAGUUCGGCAGGGGAGACUGGAAUUCCUGGUGUAGCGGUGAAAUGCGCAGAUAUCAGGAGGAACACCGGUGGCGAAGGCGGGUCUCUGGGCCGAUACUGACGCUGAGGAGCGAAAGCGUGGGGAGCGAACAGG